AUUGAACGCUGGCGGCAUGCUUUACACAUGCAAGUCGAACGGUAACAGGCCGCAAGGUGCUGACGAGUGGCGAACGGGUGAGUAAUGCAUCGGAACGUGCCCAGUCGUGGGGGAUAACUACUCGAAAGAGUAGCUAAUACCGCAUACGAUCUAUGGAUGAAAGCGGGGGACCGUAAGGCCUCGCGCGAUUGGAGCGGCCGAUGUCAGAUUAGGUAGUUGGUGGGGUAAAGGCUCACCAAGCCAACGAUCUGUAGCUGGUCUGAGAGGACAACCAGCCACACUGGAACUGAGACACGGCCCAGACUCCUACGGGAGGCAGCAGUGGGGAAUUUUGGACAAUGGGCGCAAGCCUGAUCCAGCAAUGCCGCGUGCAGGAAGAAGGCCUUCGGGUUGUAAACUGCUUUUGUACGGAGCGAAACGGCUCUGGUUAAUACCCGGGGCUAAUGACGGUACCGGAAGAAUAAGCACCGGCUAACUACGUG
Molecule: ribosomal RNA, 482 nt
Filed under: uncultured bacterium
Lineage: Bacteria
Description: partial 16S ribosomal RNA
Rfam family: Bacterial small subunit ribosomal RNA
Source: RNAcentral